GACGAACGCUGGCGGCGUGCUUAACACAUGCAAGUCGAACGGAAAGGCCCUGCUUUUGUGGGGUGCUCGAGUGGCGAACGGGUGAGUAACACGUGAGUAACCUGCCCUUGACUUUGGGAUAACUUCAGGAAACUGGGGCUAAUACCGGAUAGGAGCUCCUGCUGCAUGGUGGGGGUUGGAAAGUUUCGGCGGUUGGGUAUGGACUCGCGGCUUAUCAGCUUGUUGGUGGGGUAGUGGCUUACCAAGGCUUUGACGGGUAGCCGGCCUGAGAGGGUGACCGGCCACAUUGGGACUGAGAUACGGCCCAGACUCCUACGGGAGGCAGCAGUGGGGAAUAUUGCACAAUGGGCGGAAGCCUGAUGCAGCAACGCCGCGUGCGGGAUGACGGCCUUCGGGUUGUAAACCGCUUUCGCCUGUGACGAAGCGUGAGUGACGGUAAUGGGUAAAGAAGCACCGGCUAACUACGUGCCAGCAGCCGCGGUGAUACGUAGGGUGCGAGCGUUGUCCGGAUUUAUUGGGCGUAAAGGGCUCGUAGGUGGUUGAUCGCGUCGGAAGUGUAAUCUUGGGGCUUAACCCUGAGCGUGCUUUCGAUACGGGUUGACUUGAGGAAGGUAGGGGAGAAUGGAAUUCCUGGUGGAGCGGUGGAAUGCGCAGAUAUCAGGAGGAACACCAGUGGCGAAGGCGGUUCUCUGGGCCUUUCCUGACGCUGAGGAGCGAAAGCGUGGGGAGCGAACAGGCUUAGAUACCCUGGUAGUCCACGCUGUAAACGGUGGGUACUAGGUGUGGGGUCCAUUCCACGGGUUCCGUGCCGUAGCUAACGCUUUAAGUACCCCGCCUGGGGAGUACGGCCGCAAGGCUAAAACUCAAAGGAAUUGACGGGGCCCCGCACAAGCGGCGGAGCAUGCGGAUUAAUUCGAUGCAACGCGUAGAACCUUACCUGGGUUUGACAUGGAUCGGGAGUGCUCAGAGAUGGGUGUGCCUCUUUUGGGGUCGGUUCACAGGUGGUGCAUGGCUGUCGUCAGCUCGUGUCGUGAGAUGUUGGGUUAAGUCCCGCAACGAGCGCAACCCUUGUUCACUGUUGCCAGCACGUUAUGGUGGGGACUCAGUGGAGACCGCCGGGGUCAACUCGGAGGAAGGUGGGGAUGACGUCAAGUCAUCAUGCCCCUUAUGUCCAGGGCUUCACGCAUGCUACAAUGGCUGGUACAGAGAGUGGCGAGCCUGUGAGGGUGAGCGAAUCUCGGAAAGCCGGUCUCAGUUCGGAUUGGGGUCUGCAACUCGACCUCAUGAAGUCGGAGUCGCUAGUAAUCGCAGAUCAGCAACGCUGCGGUGAAUACGUUCCCGGGGCU
Molecule: ribosomal RNA, 1346 nt
Filed under: uncultured bacterium
Lineage: Bacteria
Description: partial 16S ribosomal RNA
Rfam family: Bacterial small subunit ribosomal RNA
Source: RNAcentral